UACGGGGGGGGCAAGCGUUGUUCGGAAGUACUGGGCGUAAAGGGCUUGUAGGUGGCCAACUAAGUCAGACGUGAAAUCCCUCGGCUUAACCGGGGAACUGCGUCUGAUACUGGAUGGCUUGAGUGUGGGAGAGGGAUGCGGAAUUCCAGGUGUAGCGGUGAAAUGCGUAGAUAUCUGGAGGAACACCGGUGGCGAAGGCGGCAUCCUGGACCAUUACUGACACUGAAAAGCGAAAGCCAGGGGAGCAAACGGG
This 253-nucleotide ribosomal RNA is filed under the name uncultured bacterium. RNAcentral's name for it is "partial 16S ribosomal RNA". It matches the Rfam family "Bacterial small subunit ribosomal RNA", at positions 524 to 776 of the family's 1533-position model. The record is from RNAcentral.